AGAGAGAGAGAGAGAGAGAGAGAGAGAGAGAGAGAGAGAGAGAGACAGAAAGCUCAAGAAUAACGUGUUAUCUACACAUGCUCUUAAUGCUAUAUUUAGCGGACGACAUACGUAUCUACACUAUAAUAUGCAAUAAAUUUUUUAUCUAGCAAGCAACACGUUCCAUAUAACUCGUUUAGUCGAGAAGUGACCGUUGAAACGAACAGUUCUAAGUUCUAUAAAAGUAAAAAAAAUAUUUAUUUUUGAGGAAGACAUAUAUACAAAUGUAUAAAUAGAUCCCAGAUAGCAAGUUGAUGUCUAAAAACGUUUUAAUUAUGUAUUAUUAACGUUAAAGAUAUCAUUAAGACAUUAUGAAUGUAUUAUUUGUUGUCAUUUGAUGUCACACUGUUAUCUGAGAUAGACAAAGAGGAAGGAAAGAUAUUAAAAUUAACUUAAAUUACACAUAAAUUAAGUAAGUAAAUAAAGAAAUUAAUAAACUAUCGUGUCUCACAAUCAUAAAAUAUGACCGUAAAGAAUCUUUAAAUAUAUGUAAUAAUAGUAAUAAAAAUAAUUAAUGAAAAUAGGUCGUUUUGUGCGAGUUAUGCAAUUUAACAUUUUAAGUGCAAUUUCAGAUCGCACCGAUAUAUAGAGUGAUUUUGUGAAAAACAAACGGUAUAUAAACAUGAUUAUGUUAGAAAUGAUCACGAUUAAAGAAGCAGCGGAAGAAGCUGGUGGAAAUCAGCAAAUCUUUGAAGAAAUGUUUAAUAAAUUCAGGCAAUGGCUACAGCAGCAGCUUCAUCUUCCGCAAGAGAUCACUGAUCGACGAUUACAGUGCACUCUUUUAUGUUCAAAAUUCGAUUUGGAGAAAGCGAAGAAACGUUUGGAUUCACUGUACACUCUUCAUAAUUUGAUUCCUGAGUUCUUUUCGGAUUAUGACCCGCUUAGUGACUCUAUUGCUCGGUUUCACAAAAGCACGAACUGGGUACCUCUACCAAAAUUAACACCUCAAAAAUAUAGAGUCAAUAUUGGUGGGUGGCGGAGCGAGGAUAGUUCCAUGUUUAACCUCCAGGAUGUGGUAAAGUAUCUUUUCAUGAUAACGGACGUACGUGCAGAAGAAGACACAGUUAAUAAUGAACUUAUUAUUUGGGAUUGUAAACAUCUUACUUUAGGUCAUAUGUUGAAGUACACACCAAGUACAUUAAAAAAAUGUGACCUCUGUCUGGAGGCAUACGGUUUCAGAUUCAAAGCAAUUUAUAUGAUAAACGCGCCAAGUUUUAUUGGGCGCCUUCUAUCGGUACUUAAAAUGACUUUGAAAGCAAAACUUUUUAACAGAAUACAUGUUUCUGAAUCCGGCAUAGAAUCACUAUAUGAAGCUAUACCAAAAUCUAUUUUACCGAUGGAUUAUGGCGGUGAUGAACCAUCAAUGAAAAUUCUAACAGAUAUACCAUAUAUAUACAAUACGAAGCGUUUCUUAGUCAAAGUGACAAUGGUGCAGUGGAUAAGGUAAACGACUGAAGAACCACAAGUCUUAGGUUCAAAUCUCAGCAAUGGUUAAGCAAAUUUUCAAGUCGUGCGAAUGGUAACUCACGUGAAGCCAGACAUAUUUAUGCAGGAAGAUAUCUCCAAUGCAAUUUACCGUUUCGUCAAACAUUUGCGAACAUUCACCUGUAUUUCGGAAACUAAACCGUUUAGGACACAUGUUUAUAUGAACUUUUUUACUUGAAAUAAACCAAAGAAUCACUCUGUUGAGUAUGGAAACAUACUUAACUAAUACCUUGUAUAUAUGCAGGGUGUCCCGCGUAAGACGUGUCAAAAGAAAAAUGUAAGUAGAACAGAUAAAGGUAAACAAAAAUUGUAGAGGUCAUUUUUCAAACAACCGAGAUAAAAUUUUGAGAUAUUAAUUAAAAUAGUUGGGCAUAUCAAAGCGCGGCGACGCGGCAGGCGGACAUACGGCUCGCCGCGACCGGCGCAAAAAUUCGAUGAUUGCUCGUGGACCUAUCUUAUAGGCCAGAGAGUUGGACCGUUUGGCAUAUGGAAAUGAGUAGCUCCGUGUGUGCGUCCGUGUACGUGUGCGUCCAUUUUCUUCGUCGUAUGUCGCCGUAUAUAUAAGGGUGUUUCACUUUAAGUGAUAUGGUCGAUUAUCUCGCGAAUCGAUGAUUUUAUUGAAAAAUUUUUCUAACGAAAAUUGCAUGGUUUGAAGGGAGACACAUGAUGAAAAUGUGGACUUGACCUUGAGCGACCUUGUCAAAAUCAAGUCCAGGUCAUAAAUGUUUUUUUAAAUAGAAACCCAUAUUUGUGUUACAUAUUCUUGUAGCUUAUCGCGAGAGCUUUCCAAAACACUGUAAUAAAGUUACGUGUUAUUGAGUACUUUCCGCGUUAUGGAGCUUGAAAGUUAAGGCAAGACCGAUCACUGAUCUUUCUGCUCUACAAUAAUUUCGUCCAGCUUCACCAAGCACAAGAAUAAUAUUAACGAUUUUAUUUGAACUAUAAGCGGACAUUUUGAAAAAAGCUUUGAAAAAGCUCACUUAAGUAAAAAAUAAAAAGAAAAAGCUACACAAAAAAAGAGAAAAGUUGAAUUGUUCAAUUUGGAAGGAUUGGACUCAAUUCCGUGCGCGUGAGAGUAUAUCAAGCAGUGCAGAUAGAUCGCGGAGACGCGCGCGCGUAAGAAUCUCGCUUACACGCGUAUGCGUACAUGGAUAACGCCGGCGGUACUGUAACUUUCAAGCUUCAUAACUCGGAAAGUACUCAAUAAAACGUAACUUUAUUAUAAUUUUGGAAAGUUCUCACGAUAAGCUACAAGAAUAUGUAAUAAAAAAUAGGAGUUUCCGUUUAAAGAAACAUUAAUGACCUUGACCUGAUUUUGACAAGGUCACUCAAGGUCAAGCUCACAUUUUCAUCGUGUAUCUCUCUUCAAGCUAUGCAACUUUCGUUUGAAAAAUUUUUCAAUAAAAUCAUCGAUUUGCGAGAUAAUCGACUAUAUCACUUAAAGUA
This is an RNA transcript of Odontomachus brunneus, 2970 nucleotides long. It is a transcript of the gene named retinol-binding protein pinta-like, with no coding region annotated. The transcript has 9 exons. NCBI's taxonomy places the organism in Eukaryota, Metazoa, Arthropoda, Insecta, Hymenoptera, Formicidae. The record is from RefSeq and is a predicted model, not a curated record.